This 492-nucleotide ribosomal RNA is filed under the name uncultured bacterium. Its description in RNAcentral is "partial 16S ribosomal RNA". It matches the Rfam family "Bacterial small subunit ribosomal RNA", at positions 29 to 507 of the family's 1533-position model. The record is from RNAcentral.
AGUGAACGCUGGCGGUAGGCCUAACACAUGCGAGUCGAACGGCAGCACAGUAAGAGCUUGCUCUUACGGGUGGCGAGUGGCGGACGGGUGAGGAAUACAUCGGAAUCUACUUUUUCGUGGGGGAUAACGUAGGGAAACUUACGCUAAUACCGCAUACGACCUACGGGUGAAAGCAGGGGAUCUUCGGACCUUGCGCGAUUGAAUGAGCCGAUGUCGGAUUAGCUAGUUGGCGGGGUAAAGGCCCACCAAGGCGACGAUCCGUAGCUGGUCUGAGAGGAUGAUCAGCCACACUGGAACUGAGACACGGUCCAGACUCCUACGGGAGGCAGCAGUGGGGAAUAUUGGACAAUGGGCGCAGGCCUGAUCCAGCCAUACCGCGUGGGUGAAGAAGGCCUUCGGGUUGUAAAGCCCUUUUGUUGGGAAAGAAAAGCAGCAGGUUAAUACCCCGCUGUUCUGACGGUACCCAAAGAAUAAGCACCGGCUAACUUCGUG